GAGAAAAGCCUCUAGCUAGAAUAACGGUGCCCGUACCGCAAACCGACACAGGUAGUCAAGAUGAGAAUUCUAAGGUGAGCGAGCGAACUCUCGUUAAGGAACUCGGCAAAAUGACCCCGUAACUUCGGGAGAAGGGGUGCUCUUUGAGGUUCACGCUUCGAAGAGCCGCAGUGAAUAGGCCCAAGCGACUGUUUAUCAAAAACACAGGUCUCUGCUAAACCGUAAGGUGACGUAUAGGGGCUGACGCCUGCCCGGUGCUGGAAGGUUAAGAGGAGUGGUUAGCGCAAGCGAAGCUACGAAUCGAAGCCCCAGUAAACGGCGGCCGUAACUAUAACGGUCCUAAGGUAGCGAAAUUCCUUGUCGGGUAAGUUCCGACCCGCACGAAAGGCGUAACGAUUUGGGCACUGUCUCAACGAGAGACUCGGUGAAAUCAUAGUACCGGUGAAGAUGCCGGUUACCCGCGACAGGACGGAAAGACCCCGUGGAGCUUUACUGUAGCCUGAUAUUGAAAUUCGGUACAGUUUGUACAGGAUAGGUAGGAGCCUUAGAAGCGUGAGCGCUAGCUUACGUGGAGGCAUUGGUGGGAUACUACCCUAAUUGUAUUGGAUUUCUAACCCGCAGCACUUAUCGUGCUGGGAGACAGUGUCAGGCGGGCAGUUUGACUGGGGCGGUCGCCUCCUAAAGAGUAACGGAGGCGCUCAAAGGUUCCCUCAGAAUGGUUGGAAAUCAUUCAUAGAGUGUAAAGGCAUAAGGGAGCUUGACUGCGAGACCUACAAGUCGAGCAGGGUCGAAAGACGGACUUAGUGAUCCGGUGGUUCCGCAUGGAAGGGCCAUCGCUCAACGGAUAAAAGCUACCCCGGGGAUAACAGGCUUAUCUCCCCCAAGAGUUCACAUCGACGGGGAGGUUUGGCACCUCGAUGUCGGCUCAUCGCAUCCUGGGGCUGUAGUCGGUCCCAAGGGUUGGGCUGUUCGCCCAUUAAAGCGGUACGCGAGCUGGGUUCAGAACGUCGUGAGACAGUUCGGUCCCUAUCCGUCGUGGGCGUAGGAAAUUUGAGAGGAGCUGUCCUUAGUACGAGAGGACCGGGAUGGACAUACCUCUGGUGUACCAGUUGUCGUGCCAACGGCAUAGCUGGGUAGCUAUGUAUGGACGGGAUAAGUGCUGAAAGCAUCUAAGCAUGAAGCCCCCCUCGAGAUGAGAUUUCCCAACUUCGGUUAUAAGAUCCCUCAAAGAUGAUGAGGUGAAU
Molecule: ribosomal RNA, 1244 nt
Filed under: Staphylococcus pseudintermedius
Lineage: Bacteria; Bacillati; Bacillota; Bacilli; Caryophanales; Staphylococcaceae
Description: partial 23S ribosomal RNA
Rfam family: Bacterial large subunit ribosomal RNA
Source: RNAcentral